CCUACGGGAGGCAGCAGUAGGGAAUCUUCCACAAUGAGCGAAAGCCUGAUGGAGCAACGCCGCGUGGGUGAAGAAGGUCUUCGGAUCGUAAAACCCUGUUGUUAGAGAAGAAAGUGCGUGAGAGUAACUGUUCACGUUUCGACGGUAUCUAACCAGAAAGCCACGGCUAACUACGUGCCAGCAGCCGCGGUAAUACGUAGGUGGCAAGCGUUAUCCGGAUUUAUUGGGCGUAAAGGGAACGCCGGCGGUCUUUUAAGUCUGAUGGGAAAGCCUUGGGCUUAACCGGAGUAGUGCAUUGGAAACUGGGAGACUUGAGUGCAGAAGAGGAGAGUGGAACUCCAUGUGUAGCGGUGAAAUGCGUAGAUAUAUGGAAGAACACCAGUGGCGAAGGCGGCUCUCUGGUCUGAAACUGACGCUGAGGUUCGAAAGCGUGGGUAGCAAACAGGAUUAGAUACCCUAGUAGUC
RNAcentral lists this ribosomal RNA (465 nucleotides) under uncultured bacterium. RNAcentral's name for it is "partial 16S ribosomal RNA". It matches the Rfam family "Bacterial small subunit ribosomal RNA", at positions 338 to 795 of the family's 1533-position model. The record is from RNAcentral.